Molecule: ribosomal RNA, 461 nt
Filed under: uncultured Sphingobacteriales bacterium
Lineage: Bacteria; Pseudomonadati; Bacteroidota; Sphingobacteriia; Sphingobacteriales
Description: bacterial SSU rRNA
Rfam family: Bacterial small subunit ribosomal RNA
Source: RNAcentral
GCACAAGCGGAGGAACAUUGUGGUUUAAUUCGAUGGUACGCGAGGAACCUUUACCUGGGCUUAAAUGUAGAGUGCAUUUUUUAGAGAUAGAAAUUCCCUUCGGGGCUUUCUGCAAGGUGCUGCAUGGUUGUCGUCAGCUCGUGCCGUGAGGUGUCGGGUUAAGUCCCAUAACGAGCGCAACCCUUAUCGUUAGUUGCCAUCUGGUAAUGCAGGGGACUCUAGCGAAACUGCCACCGUAAGGUGAGAGGAAGGUGGGGAUGACGUCAAAUCAGCACGGCCCUUAUGUCCAGGGCUACACACGUGUUACAAUGGUCGGUACAGAGGGCAGCUACCUGGUGACAGGAUGCUAAUCUCGAAAACCGAUCUCAGUUCGGAUCGAAGUCUGCAACUCGACUUCGUGAAGCUGGAUUCGCUAGCAAUCGCGCAUCAGCCAUGGCGCGGUGAAUACGUUCCCGGGCCUU